This is a long non-coding RNA of Rhododendron vialii, 879 nucleotides long. RefSeq lists it as uncharacterized. Lineage: Eukaryota; Viridiplantae; Streptophyta; Magnoliopsida; Ericales; Ericaceae. The record is from RefSeq and is a predicted model, not a curated record. The transcript is spliced from 2 exons.
CAACUUGCCUCGUGGGGUAGUAAAUGGGAUCAGACCACCUCUUGGAUUUUUCCGAGAACAGGAGGUGAUUUUGAUUUGCUUUCACACAAGAAGAAAAAAACAAUUUGCUUCUUGUUCUUCUCGCCUUAUAUCUGAAGCGAGAAUUGCACUACCGGAUUUGAUGGGGACGCGUCGUAAUGCUCGUUUCCCAGAGACAAAUCUCCAGGUAAUGUCGAACUGGUGGUUCGAUUUUUCCAGUGGUGUGGAGCGACGUGUGUGACUUCACCGCCAAUCAAUUGAGCACGUUCUAGGUGGUGUUGGUAUCAUCUUGGCGAGGAGGUCUUGAUUCGAUGCUCAAAACUUGGUUUUGACCGAAUCAAUUUCUGGGCAGCAACAAAGAAAAAGCAGAAUCUGUUUGUUUUUCUUUUCGCCGGAAAGUCGUCGCCGGAGUUGCUGGGCGUUGUUUGGGUGAUCGAGAGGACUUCACUCUUGCACUAAAAAAUUUGAUUUUUGAGAGAGCUAUUUUCUGGUUGAAAAAUAGUAGGCCUAAGGUAUGUUUCUUUCUGUGAGAGAAUUUUUCGGAUAAGAGCCUAGGGCUCUGAUACCAAUUUGUUGGGUGGAGGAGUAUUUUUCAGACACUGAUUGUGAAUGAACUCGACAAGAGAAUUGAACACACAAACUCACAAUUUUGUACUUCACUCGAUAUGAAAAAAAACAUACAAGGAGGAGGAAAUUUUCUGUUUCUCUCUCUAUCUUUCUGAUUCUCUUACUCCACUCAUACUUUUACAAUCAGAUUACAAGUUUAUAUAUAGGUAGAACCAUAAGAAAAAACAAGAAUGAGAUAGUCUCUCAUUUAUUGCAAAUAUCAAAAUAUAUCACGGAAGCGUGAAAGUCUUCGUC